UACGAAGGGGGCUAGCGUUGCUCGGAAUCACUGGGCGUAAAGCGCACGUAGGCGGCUUGCUAAGUCAGGGGUGAAAUCCUGGAGCUCAACUCCAGAACUGCCUUUGAUACUGGCGACCUUGAGGCCGGGAGAGGUGAGUGGAACUGCGAGUGUAGAGGUGAAAUUCGUAGAUAUUCGCAAGAACACCAGUGGCGAAGGCGGCUCACUGGCCCGGUACUGACGCUGAGACGCGAAAGCGUGGGGAGCGAACAGG
RNAcentral lists this ribosomal RNA (253 nucleotides) under uncultured bacterium. Its description in RNAcentral is "partial 16S ribosomal RNA". It matches the Rfam family "Bacterial small subunit ribosomal RNA", at positions 524 to 776 of the family's 1533-position model. The record is from RNAcentral.